UGCAGAUGAUGAUAAAGAAUAUUUGCUAUCUUAAAACCAAUUUGAUGACAAACUUUAAUCACCAAGAUCGCUGAUGCA
Cyclopterus lumpus (lumpfish) is the source of this 78-nucleotide small nucleolar RNA. Its record names the gene SNORD24. It matches the Rfam family "Small nucleolar RNA SNORD24". Rfam says of the family: U24 is a member of the C/D class of snoRNA which contain the C (UGAUGA) and D (CUGA) box motifs. C/D box snoRNAs have been shown to act as methylation guides for a number of RNA targets. U24 is encoded within an intron of the gene for ribosomal protein L7a in mammals, chicken and Fugu. NCBI's taxonomy places the organism in Eukaryota, Metazoa, Chordata, Actinopteri, Perciformes, Cyclopteridae. The record is from Ensembl.